AUUGAACGCUGGCGGCAGGCUUAACACAUGCAAGUCUAGCGGCAACAGAUCUAGCUUGCUAGAUGCUGACGAGCGGCGGACGGGGGAGUAACGCGUAGGAAUCUACCUGGUAGUGGGGGACAACCUGUGGAAACGCAGGCUAAUACCGCAUAAAGGGUGAAAGUAGGGGAUCUUCGGACCUUAUGCUAUCAGAUGAGCCUGCGUAAGAUUAGCUAGUUGGUAGGGUAAAGGCCUACCAAGGCGACGAUCUUUAGCUGGUCUGAGAGGAUGAUCAGCCACACUGGGACUGAGACACGGCCCAGACUCCUACGGGAGGGAGCAGUGGGGAAGAUUGCACAAUGGAGGAAACUCUGAUGCAGCAAUGCCGCGUGUGUGAAGAAGGCCUUAGGGUUGUAAAGCACUUUCAGACGUGAGGAAAAGUUAAUGGUUAAUAACCAUUGGCCCUGACGUUAACGUCAGAAGAAGCACCGGCUAACUCCGUGCCAGCAGCCGCGGUAAUACGGAGGGUGCAAGCGUUAAUCGGAAUUACUGGGCGUAAAGCGCGCGUAGGCGGUUAGUUAAGUUAGAUGUGAAAGCCCCGGGCUCAACCUGGGAACUGCACCGGAACUGUCAAGCUAGAGUGCAGGAGAGGAAGGUAGAAUUCCCGGUGUAGCGGUGAAAUGCGUAGAGAUCGGGAGGAACAUCAGUGGCGAAGGCGGCUAUCUGGACCAAUACUGACGCUGAGGCUCGAAAGCGUGGGGAGCAAACAGGAUUAGAUACCUUGGUAGUCCACGCCGUAAACGAUGUCGACCAGCCGUUGGGUGCCUAGCGCACUUUGUGGCGAAGUUAACGCGAUAAGUCGGCCGCCUGGGGAGUACGGCCGCAAGGUUAAAACUCAAAUGAAUUGACGGGGGCCCGCACAAGCGGUGGAGCAUGUGGUUUAAUUCGAAGCAACGCGAAGAACCUUACCCGCUCUAGACAUCCACAGAACGCUCAAGAGAUGGAGCGGUGCCUUCGGGAACUGUGAGACAGGUGCUGCAUGGCUGUCGUCAGCUCGUGUUGUGAAAUGUUGGGUUAAGUCCCGUAACGAGCGCAACCCUUGUCCUUAUUUGCCAGCGAGUUAUGUCGGGGACUUUAAGGAGACUGCCGGUGACAAACCGGAGGAAGGUGGGGACGACGUCAAGUCAUCAUGGCCCUUACGAGCGGGGCUACACACGUGCUACAAUGGCCAGGACAAACGGUUGCGACCCCGCGAGGGCAAGCUAAUCUGAGAAACCUGGUCGUAGUCCGGAUCGCAGUCUGCAACUCGACUGCGUGAAGUCGGAAUCGCUAGUAAUCGUGAAUCAGAAUGUCACGGUGAAUACGUUCCCGAGCAU
This 1355-nucleotide ribosomal RNA is filed under the name uncultured prokaryote. Its description in RNAcentral is "partial 16S ribosomal RNA". It matches the Rfam family "Bacterial small subunit ribosomal RNA", at positions 28 to 1381 of the family's 1533-position model. The record is from RNAcentral.